AAAAGAUUCGUGCAACAUUGGAAAAAGCAACAAAUACACUAGCUAAUAAUUAAUAUUCGUGAUCAAUUCCAGGCUAGUCGUCUUUCAGAAGUUCUCCAUAACAUCAAUAUCAGAGAACUYGACAACAGGAGCGAGCUCGACGAGCUGAUGUUACUGCUGAAGAACGUGAAUACUAACUACGCCUGUCUGACCGUUGGGGGAUUGGUGACUAUUACCAAAGAAAUGAUUCUAACGGUUUUUGGAACCAUGUUGGGAUAUCUGACUAUACUUAUGAGUUUCUAAUUAACGCAUGCGCAGAGCAAUUUAUAAAAAGUGAAGUCGUUUGAGGCGUAAACAAAGACAAUCCGUCCUUUUUGACAUAGUGUUUAUACCCCAGUGAAUUCUUAGUUAUAUGACAUAUUUGUUGAUUUCUAAGAAAUUGUUUCACGGUUUUGUGGCGUACACCCUAGUUAAUGCAGCACUUAGAGAGCAUAAAUUACAUGCCUAAAUAAUGACAUAACAUCUYCUAAUUUCGCAAUAUAUUCUAUCUUCGCAUUACGUAAUACUGUACAAACAAAUUAAAAUCACAGCACUACAUUUUAACGAUAAAUUGGAUCUUUGAAGAAGUUUUUUUCUAUCGAAGUACCAAUGCAUGCCGUUACGUGGACACUUAGAAAUAUCUCCAAUUAGUGCUUGAAAUAAAGCUAUUUAAAAUAGUAAACAAUAAAUGUUUGUUAGAGAUUUUUUGGAUGACAUGUACACUUAUGCGUAUAUAUGUGUA
Molecule: long non-coding RNA, 760 nt
Organism: Exaiptasia diaphana
Lineage: Eukaryota; Metazoa; Cnidaria; Anthozoa; Actiniaria; Aiptasiidae
Exons: 3
Source: RefSeq, a predicted model, not a curated record